GCUUCGGAUUCCAGGUGUGGCAGUGACUCCGCGCUCCACGUUUUGCAGGCUGCCACCGUGUCGGAGGCGAGGCGAGGAAGGGAGCUGGAAUAACAAAGGGAGGUAAUGGGGUAGAUUGGAUACCUCUGGGGUCUUGGAAGAAGCUAUGACUUAUUUACUGUCUACUAUGUGGUGGAUGGUGUUUGAAGUGAAUUGAAUUAGGGGACACCCAGCUGGCAUCUGCUGCAGAACUGAUGACUCGCUUGCUGGUGGGCAGAAAUCUCCAUAAUCUUUCUUUAGCAGAUGAGGUCACUGAGGCUCAGAGAGGCUGAAGCCACUUGCUCAGAGCCGCACAGCAAGCCCACCACCCUGAACCUCCAGAUUACCAACUCAGCAUUGUGUCCUGACAGUGUCAUCAUAGAUGGUCAACACCGUCACCUGGGCAGCACUGAAGCCCAGAGCGGGAGAGACUGGCUCAAGACCAUGGCCUCUCCUGGUCUGACAGUCUCAGAUGCAGUCAUGGAUGGCUUUCUGGAGGAGGUGGUACCUGGUCUGUGGGAAGUAGGGGUCAGCAUCCUGGUCUCUGGGAGCAUCUGCUCCAGAUGGUUUCCCUGGGGCCCCCAGAAGCAGGUGUUUGCGCUAACAGCUCUGCAAGCAGAGAGCUUCAGUGCAUGGCCCUUCUUGCCCUUGUUCCCAGGCACAUGCUGUUCCCCUGGGGCUGAAUACCCCACUUACUUGUAAAUCCCAGUGCUCUCCUGUUCAUUCUGCAGUGCCAGCACAAGUCUCCUCCUUGGGGAAGGCUUUCUGGACUUCCCAGCCCACUGGCCAUUGUUCCGUCUUGCAGGUGCCCCCUCAGGGUGCCUGCUGUAACCGUCACUCACAUAUCUCCCCCACCCAACAGAGGGCCUUGCUUUUGGUCCUGGACCUGCACCUUUGACUGUAUUCUUAGUGAUUUGUCCAAGCCCACCCUGGGAGAUAGGGGCGGUGCCAGGCUAGCACCCAGUUCUCCUGGGUUCUCUGAGAAAGUUCCUACCUUCUUCCCUGGCUCACAAGUAGUACUUAAGCAGUUUUGGUUGUUAAAGAAAAUACUGAAUUUAUUCUUCCAACCACUCAUAUAUAUAUAUAAAUCAGUGUUAUUGAGAAACAAUUUACAAAAUGCACCCAUUUUCACUGUACAGUUCAGUGAAUUUUAACAGGUGUGUACAGUGGUGUAAACACUGCCACACCCAAGAUAUCACACAUUUCCAUCACCCCUCAAAAUCUCCUCAUACCCCUUCCUGAUCAAUCCCUCUUCCUGCCUCAGGCAACAUUUGAUUUGAUUUUAUCAAUAUCGAUUAGUUUUGCAUGUUCUAGAAUGUCCUAUAAAUUGUGAUUAGGCAGUAUGUACUUUCUGUGUAGUGCCAUGCAUGUUGUAUCUUGCAUGAGUAGUUCGGCCCUUUGCAUUGCUGGGUAGUAUUCUGGAGAAUGGACAUUCCACAAUUUGUUUAUCUGUUCACCAAUUGAUAGAAUUUGGGUUAUUUCCAGUUUGGGGAUUUUAUGAAUAAAGCUGCUAUGAACAUUCA
This 1541-nucleotide long non-coding RNA is filed under the name Homo sapiens (human). RNAcentral's name for it is "ZMIZ1 antisense RNA 1". Lineage: Eukaryota; Metazoa; Chordata; Mammalia; Primates; Hominidae. The record is from RNAcentral.